CCUACGGGAGGCAGCAGUGAGGAAUAUUGGUCAAUGGGCGAGAGCCUGAACCAGCCAAGUCGCGUGAGGGAGUACUGCCCUAUGGGUUGUAAACCUCUUUUGUCGGGGAGCAAAAGCCGGACGUGUCCGGCUGUGAGAGUACCCGAAGAAAAAGCAUCGGCUAACUCCGUGCCAGCAGCCGCGGUAAGACGGAGGAUGCGCGCGUUAUCCGGAUUUAUUGGGUUUAAAGGGUGCGCAGGCGGAUUUUUAAGUCAGCGGUAAAAUCGUGGGGCUCAACCCCAUCCAGCCGUUGAAACUGGGGAUCUAGAGUGUGCGAGAGGUAUGCGGAAUGCGUGGUGUAGCGGUGAAAUGCAUAGAUAUCACGCAGAACCCCGAUUGCGAAGGCAGCAUACCGGUGCACAACUGACGCUCAGGCACGAAAGCGUGGGUAUCGAACAGGAUUAGAUACCCCUGUAGUC
Molecule: ribosomal RNA, 458 nt
Filed under: uncultured bacterium
Lineage: Bacteria
Description: partial 16S ribosomal RNA
Rfam family: Bacterial small subunit ribosomal RNA
Source: RNAcentral